Molecule: ribosomal RNA, 610 nt
Filed under: uncultured bacterium
Lineage: Bacteria
Description: bacterial SSU rRNA
Rfam family: Bacterial small subunit ribosomal RNA (bases 1-519)
Source: RNAcentral
CCUACGGGAGGCAGCAGUGGGGAAUCUUGCGCAAUGGGCGAAAGCCUGACGCAGCCAUGCCGCGUGAAUGAUGAAGGUCUUAGGAUUGUAAAAUUCUUUCACCGGGGACGAUAAUGACGGUACCCGGAGAAGAAGCCCCGGCUAACUUCGUGCCAGCAGCCGCGGUAAUACGAAGGGGGCUAGCGUUGCUCGGAAUUACUGGGCGUAAAGGGAGCGUAGGCGGAUAGUUUAGUCAGAGGUGAAAGCCCAGGGCUCAACCUUGGAAUUGCCUUUGAUACUGGCUAUCUUGAGUACGGAAGAGGUAUGUGGAACUCCGAGUGUAGAGGUGAAAUUCGUAGAUAUUCGGAAGAACACCAGUGGCGAAGGCGACAUACUGGUCCGUUACUGACGCUGAGGCUCGAAAGCGUGGGGAGCAAACAGGAUUAGAUACCCUGGUAGUCCACGCUGUAAACGAUGAGUGCUAGUUGUCGGCAUGNAUGNAUGUCGGUGACGCNGCUAACGACAUAAGUACACUCCGCCGUCGGGAGGUACGGUCGCGAGAAGUAAACUAACUAAAUUAGAAGUUAGUUAGGCGUGAGAGNGCCGACGGACGACGACGAGGGAGGAGGAG